CUGGAUAUUCAAAUAAAUGUGAUCAAAUUUACAGAAAAGUUGACCCAUGUUACAAAUUUUAAUAAACAAUUUACAUUAUCAUCAGUAAAAAAUGAUGUUUUGAGAGGAGUGAAUGAGGGUCCAGGAGACCCCCAAAGUGCAGGAUUUUGCACCAUUUUUUCAAAAUUUUCUGGGGCCCUUGAGCGGGCCCCAUACCCCCGGCCGUAGCACGACGAGCAAGCUCGUCGCCGCGAACGGCUUUGCCGUCCGCAUUACAUCCCCUCCUACUUUUUAUAAUUAACCUGCUACUUAACAUCUUAGAGACAACCCUGAGU
Molecule: long non-coding RNA, 314 nt
Filed under: Mytilus galloprovincialis (Mediterranean mussel)
Lineage: Eukaryota; Metazoa; Mollusca; Bivalvia; Mytilida; Mytilidae
Source: RNAcentral